RNAcentral lists this long non-coding RNA (1539 nucleotides) under Oncorhynchus kisutch (coho salmon). Its description in RNAcentral is "lncRNA (ENSOKIG00005038181.1)". The record is from RNAcentral. Lineage: Eukaryota; Metazoa; Chordata; Actinopteri; Salmoniformes; Salmonidae.
CAUACCCUACUACCACCUACUACCAUACACUACUACCACCUACUACCAUACCCUACUACCACCUACUACCAUACCCUACUCCCAUACCCUACUACCACCUACUACCAUACCCUACUACCACCUACUACCAUACCCUACUACCAUACCUACUACCACCUACUACCAUACCCUACUACCACCUACUACCAUACCCUACUACCACCUACUACCAUACCCUACUACCAUACCCUACUACCAUACCCUACUACCAUACCCUAACCCUACUACCACCUACUACCAUACCCUACUACCACCUACUAGCAUACCCUACUACCAUACCCUACUACCACCUACUACCAUACCCUACUACCACCUACUACCAUACCCUACUACCACCUACUACCAUACCCUACUACCAUACCCUACUACCAUACCCUACUACCACCUACUACCACACACUACUACCACCUACUACCACCUACUACCAUACCCUACUACCACCUACUACCAUACCCUACUACCACCUACUACCACCUACUACCAUACCUACUACCAUACCCUACUACCAUACCCUACUACCACCUACUACCAUACCCUACUACCAUACCCUACUACCACCUACUACCAUACCCUACUACCAUACCCUACUACCAUACCCUACUACCACCUACUACCAUACCCUACUACCACCUACUACCAUACCCUACUACCACCUACUACCAUACCCUACUACCACCUACUACCACCUACUACCAUACCCUACUACCACCUACUACCAUACCCUACUACCACCUACUACCAUACCCUACUACCAUACCCUACUACCACCUACUACCACCUACUACCAUACACUACUACCACCUACUACCAUACCCUACUACCAUACCCUACUACCAUACCCUACUACCACCUACUACCAUACCCUACUACCACCUACUACCAUACCCUACUACCACCUACUACCAUACCCUACUACCACCUACUACCAUACCCUACUACCAUACCCUACUACCAUACACUACUACCACCUACUACCAUACCCUACUACCACCUACUACCAUACCCUACUACCACCUACUACCACCUACUACCAUACCCUACUACCACCUACUACCAUACCCUACUACCAUACCCUACUACCACCUACUACCAUACCCUACUACCAUACCCUACUACCAUACCCUACUACCAUACCCUACUACCAUACCCCAUUCAAAGGGGCUUUAAUAUUUUGUCUUACCCAUUCACCCUCUGAAUGGUACACACACACAAUCCAUGUCUCAAAUUUCUCAAAGCUUAAAAAUCCUUCUUUAACCCGUCUCCUCCCCUUCUACUUGCACUGUCAGAUUGAAUUCAUCCAUCUUCUUACGACCCCCCUACAGCCGCCCAAUACACACCCUUCGUGGCUUCAUGGAGAAAGAGGAUGUUUCUGGUUUUCAGGGACAGAGCUUUAUCAAUCUAACUUCCGUUUCCCCUGCCCCAUGUUACGCCUGAUAUGUUAAGCGGGUGUAAAGAUGUCUCGGACCGUUGAGCAUCGCUAAGCAACAGGUGUAGUCAAAC